GGCCUUACCAGAAGCCAACCCCGAGGGCACCUUGAUCUUGAACUUCUACCUGCCAAAACUAGGAUGCAGUGCAAGGUGCCAUCUUCGAAGCAGAGAGCAGCCCUCUCCAGACAACCGAAUAUGUCAGUGCGUUGGACUUGGACUUCUUAGUCUCCAGAAUUAAAUGACCUACUAAAAUGAAAUGAUUCUUAUUUAUUCAUCUUUGAUCCACGGAACUCAGAUUAGUAUUUGGAACAAU
Molecule: non-coding RNA, 238 nt
Organism: Microcebus murinus (gray mouse lemur)
Lineage: Eukaryota; Metazoa; Chordata; Mammalia; Primates; Cheirogaleidae
Source: RefSeq, a predicted model, not a curated record